Chelonoidis abingdonii (Abingdon island giant tortoise) is the source of this 168-nucleotide unclassified non-coding RNA. NCBI's taxonomy places the organism in Eukaryota, Metazoa, Chordata, Testudines, Testudinidae. The record is from Ensembl.
AUGACAGCACUUGAAGAUUAAUUUCUGUAUUUAUCUGCAGAAGUAGUUCAGCAUGGAGGUAGGAGGAGGGCAGCAGUGCAUGCUUCCUCAACAAAUAUGUCUGAACCCUGACCCUGGAGAGGUCACCUCUAAAGAUGAGUUUCCAUACUCUCUCAAUCCUUGACCUCA